GGAGGUGCCCUCAGGCCCAGGAAGCCCUGUUGUCUGGUCUACUCUGUUCCUGGAAGUUCCCUCUGGGUGUGUUCCACUCUCCUUUCCCUCAGGAGCAGCACUUCUGGGGACAGACGACCUGGAAAGCCUCAGAUCCCCUGGCUCCAGCCAGCCCCCUUUGGAUGCCACAAUCUGAACGGGUGCUCGUUAAUGUCUGCAGGUCCUCUAAUGACGUGGAGACACAGGGCUGAGGUUGGCAGUACACAUCCCUCAGUGGGUGCACUCUGACCCUGGUGCCCACCAUAGAAGCUCAAUUCCAGGUGGAGGACGAGUGUCCCUGUGUGCCCGGGCAGUUGGAUCAGCAUUGCACUUCAUGAGAGAUGCGCUGAAUGUGCUGCUGAUGGAUGUCAGACCCGCGAGGAAUACAGUAGGCCGCUGAUGAUUGAAUUGUGCAUCAGCUUCUGUACAUACACAUUACCUGCCUCCGAGACAGAUAACUUUAAGUAAAUCCUGGAGGGCAUGACUGGCCCCAAAUUUCUUAAUCUUCAAAUUUGCAAUAUGUACCAUAUUUUAUUCUUGGAUUUGAAGUUUAGCCUGAAUCGAUAAAAUAGGAACUAUCACACUGAAUAAC
Nycticebus coucang (slow loris) is the source of this 610-nucleotide long non-coding RNA. RefSeq lists it as uncharacterized. The transcript is spliced from 3 exons. NCBI's taxonomy places the organism in Eukaryota, Metazoa, Chordata, Mammalia, Primates, Lorisidae. The record is from RefSeq and is a predicted model, not a curated record.